GGAGGGGUGGCCGAGGGGCCAAAGGCAGCAGACUGUAAAUCUGCCCGCGCAAGCGUUCAAAGGUUCAAAUCCUUUUCCCUCCACCA
RNAcentral lists this transfer RNA (86 nucleotides) under Rickettsiaceae bacterium. RNAcentral describes it as "tRNA-Tyr". It matches the Rfam family "tRNA". Rfam says of the family: Transfer RNA (tRNA) molecules are approximately 80 nucleotides in length. Their secondary structure includes four short double-helical elements and three loops (D, anti-codon, and T loops). Further hydrogen bonds mediate the characteristic L-shaped molecular structure. tRNAs have two regions of fundamental functional importance: the anti-codon, which is responsible for specific mRNA codon recognition, and the 3' end, to which the tRNAs corresponding amino acid is attached (by aminoacyl-tRNA synthetases). tRNAs cope with the degeneracy of the genetic code in two manners: having more than one tRNA (with a specific anti-codon) for a particular amino acid; and 'wobble' base-pairing, i.e. permitting non-standard base-pairing at the 3rd anti-codon position. The record is from RNAcentral. Lineage: Bacteria; Pseudomonadati; Pseudomonadota; Alphaproteobacteria; Rickettsiales; Rickettsiaceae.